CGCGAUCCUAGGUCAGGUGGGGUUACCUACUGAAUUUAA
Molecule: ribosomal RNA, 39 nt
Filed under: Acaena argentea
Lineage: Eukaryota; Viridiplantae; Streptophyta; Magnoliopsida; Rosales; Rosaceae
Description: partial 26S ribosomal RNA
Source: RNAcentral